UACGGAGGGUCCGAGCGUUAUCCGGAAUCAUUGGGUUUAAAGGGUCCGCAGGCGGUCAAUUAAGUCAGAGGUGAAAUCCCAUCGCUUAACGAUGGAACUGCCUUUGAUACUGGUUGACUUGAGUUAUACGGAAGUAGAUAGAAUAAGUAGUGUAGCGGUGAAAUGCAUAGAGAUUACUUAGAAUACCGAUUGCGAAGGCAGUCUACUACGUAUAUACUUACGCUCAUGGACGAAAGCGUGGGGAGCGAACAGG
RNAcentral lists this ribosomal RNA (253 nucleotides) under uncultured bacterium. Its description in RNAcentral is "partial 16S ribosomal RNA". It matches the Rfam family "Bacterial small subunit ribosomal RNA", at positions 524 to 776 of the family's 1533-position model. The record is from RNAcentral.